GUUCCUUUCGUUUUUCUCUCUCUAGAGGCUUAAAGGAUUCUUUCAGAAGCUUGAUUUUAUCAACAUAUAACUACCAGCUAAAAGUACGUGCUUCACUGAUAACUCAUCAGCAAAGUUGCCAACUGCUCCUAGGACAUCAACUUAUAUUUGGCUAUGGCAACUAAUGAAAAUCUGCCACCAAACGUGAUAAAACAAUUGGCGAAGGAAUUGAAAAA
RNAcentral lists this unclassified non-coding RNA (215 nucleotides) under Hevea brasiliensis (rubber tree). The record is from RNAcentral. Lineage: Eukaryota; Viridiplantae; Streptophyta; Magnoliopsida; Malpighiales; Euphorbiaceae.